CACACCUCUCUUCACCUCUCACGAUCUCUCGUCUCCAUCUCUCACGCCUUAGCUCUCUUAAAGACAUGGGUUUAAUAAGAUAGCAGAAAAGAUGGUAGAGAUAAUGGCAGAGGAUCGUGUGGUGUUGCAGCAGGAUCACAAAUUCCGUGUGCACUCUGUGUUGGAGAUACCUGGAAUUAUAAAGUGGUCACCAUUUCACAUUGCUGCAGUUAACCAUCUCAAAGCUGUUGAAGAAAACAGAGUGGCUUUUAUGUCUUUCUCUAGUGAUGAUGAUAAGAUUAGCUAUCUUGAGAAUAUGAUUGGAGUUAUGACGGAUUGUAGUCUGUUUCAGUAUGACUGUUUUAAUAUGACUCAGAUUGUAGUGUUUCUUUUAAGUAUGACUUUUGUUUCAUUUCUUUUGUUAUGACUCAGAUUGUAGUAUUUUAAUGUGAUAGGAAAUUAGGAACCAUGACCA
Molecule: long non-coding RNA, 454 nt
Organism: Brassica oleracea var. oleracea
Lineage: Eukaryota; Viridiplantae; Streptophyta; Magnoliopsida; Brassicales; Brassicaceae
Exons: 2
Source: RefSeq, a predicted model, not a curated record